Non-coding RNA from Sus scrofa (pig), 301 nucleotides. Lineage: Eukaryota; Metazoa; Chordata; Mammalia; Artiodactyla; Suidae. The record is from RefSeq and is a predicted model, not a curated record.
CUGCUCUGUGUUCCAGGUGGGGGACAGAAACCACGGCUCGUGGCGCAUGUGCGAGGCCCUAUCAGGGUCUAGGGCGAUGCUGGAGGGCAUUCUCGUGUUUGAAUCACCAGCUUCCUGCAGAUGUCCUGUGCCUCCCCGGCCCCGACAGACAUGCAUUGUCUCUCCCCCUCCCCCCACUCCUCCCCCAACUCCUCUGCUGGCUUUCCAGGGUCUCCAGUUUGCUGACAGCGGGCCUUGGGACUUGUCAGCUGCAUCAUCUCAUGAGCCAAUUCCUUGUAAUAAAUCACAUGAGCCAAUUCUU